RNAcentral lists this unclassified non-coding RNA (397 nucleotides) under Hevea brasiliensis (rubber tree). Lineage: Eukaryota; Viridiplantae; Streptophyta; Magnoliopsida; Malpighiales; Euphorbiaceae. The record is from RNAcentral.
UUUAUUUUAUUUUGUUUUAUUUUUGUUUCACUUAUUCUUAUUGUAGUUUAUAUGACUUAUAUGGGGUUGGUACUUUCUUGUCCUUAGCUGUUUGCAUUUAGAAUGCAUUUUAAUUGUUAUUUCUCUUUGCAGUAAUCCUUUAGUUUCAUGUUUGAGAUCUUUAAUGAUAAAUUUCUUUAAUUAAAUAAGGGAUACCCUUAAAUUGUUUCUAUUUAUUGAUAUUAUUUAAAUUAAUUUUUUUUUAGUUAAUAAAGGGGUAAACAAUGGUGUAAUUUUGAUUUAAGGGCAAGUUUAACUUAAACCACUUUAAAAUUAAAUAUAUUAAUACAAUUUUUGGUUUAACGGCAAAUUUGCCUUAAAUCAUUUAAAGUUAAAAAUGAAUAAUAAAUAAAUAUAG